AUGUUAUACCCACUCUGCCAGCUUGGACAUGUCUAUCAUCUACAAUAUUUAGCAUGUGCAGGUGCUGCAGGCAGAAGUAAAAUUCGAACAAAACCUGAAAUCUACCGCACAGAUACAGGGAAAAUGAUUGUGGAAGAUGAGUUUUUAAACUUUCUUUCUAUUAAGAUCAAAACUGUGAAACAGGACGAGAUUGUUUUGAUGGCUGUGGACCAUUUUGGAUCAGAAUGGAUUACAAACUCCACCAAACUGCUAUUUGAACUGUGCCCAGGUACUACUCGCAAGCUUGUGGCUCAUACUGGGCCGCAAAAAGAUUCAAAGAAUGUUAGGAAUUGCCUUAGGCUUCUCAAUGAAGCUGGUGAAAAUGUUCCUCGGUUUGUUUCUCACCAUCUUGAUGAACUACCACCUGUGACUUUUAACAGCCUUGAUGUUUCCUGUUUGCUUGGGAAGAUUGAACAACUAGGUGCAGAUAUUACUAUCAUGAAACAGGCUGUGUCUUUGCAGACAAACACCUGUAACGAUCUGCGGAUUAUCACCGCAGACAUAAAUCAACGUCUGGGUGCUAUUGAGCAGCCUAGACCAAAUCUGGAGAGAGGGCCUAUUUUCCAAACCAACAAGCCUGGAACAAGUCAGAGAUCGUCCACUCCACAAGUCUGUGAGAAGACCCAAGUUGGCAUGGAGGGCCAGACCAGCGAGAAAGACUCAAGCCAGAAGGUGGAGAGUUCUGCCUUGGGCUUGGACGGGCCAAUCAGCGCCACAAAGGGAGACCCUCAUGUCAUGUGGAGUGACGUGGCUGCUACCCCACCCUGGAACUUGGUCCAGGACAAGAGGAGCAACAGCCGUUGGAAACAGGUCCCCGAUAAUGCUUCAGUUAAGGCCAAACCUCGUCUGCAUCCUCCCAAAGGUAAGAAAACUGGUGGCAUUGUUGGGACUGGUACUGCUGGAGACUUUCAAGUCAUUAAGUCUAAGCUGGUGAGUGUAUUUGCAACAAAAUUCUCACCUGAUUUAGACUCUGAGACUUUGUCUAGUUACAUGAAAGAUAAACUUGGGCGUGAUGUAACUUGUCAAAAGAUAGAAACUUUACAAAGCUGGUUCAGUUCAUUUAAAAUAACUGCAGAGUGCAAAGAAGUGGGUGGAAUGUAUAAUCCAGAGCUGUGGCCUGAAGAAACUUUUGUGCGGCGAUAUUAUGAAGCAUGCAGACCAAAGUCUACAGGGGGGCUAAUGGCAGUGAUGAAUGUGCCUUUAAUGGGGGCUGGGGUACAUGAUGCCUAG
Cyprinus carpio (common carp) is the source of this 1269-nucleotide long non-coding RNA. Lineage: Eukaryota; Metazoa; Chordata; Actinopteri; Cypriniformes; Cyprinidae. The record is from Ensembl.